RNAcentral lists this ribosomal RNA (253 nucleotides) under uncultured bacterium. RNAcentral's name for it is "partial 16S ribosomal RNA". It matches the Rfam family "Bacterial small subunit ribosomal RNA", at positions 524 to 776 of the family's 1533-position model. The record is from RNAcentral.
UACGAGAGGCCCAAACGUUAUUCGGAUUUACUGGGCUUAAAGAGUUCGUAGGCGGCGCAGCAAGUCGGGUGUGAAAGCCCUCGGCUCAACCGAGGAAUUGCGCCCUAAACUACUGUGCUUGAGGGACCUAGAGGUGAGCAGAACUGAUGGUGGAGCGGUGAAAUGCGUUGAUAUCAUCAGGAAUACCGGAGGCGAAGGCGGCUCACUGGGGGUCUUCUGACGCUGAGGAACGAAAGCCAGGGGAGCGAACGGG